Molecule: ribosomal RNA, 253 nt
Filed under: uncultured bacterium
Lineage: Bacteria
Description: partial 16S ribosomal RNA
Rfam family: Bacterial small subunit ribosomal RNA
Source: RNAcentral
UACGUAGGGUCCGAGCGUUAAUCGGAAUUACUGGGCGUAAAGCGUGCGCAGGCGGUUUUGUAAGCCAGAUGUGAAAUCCCCGGGCUCAACCUGGGAACUGCAUUUGGGACUGCAAGGCUGGAGUACGGCAGAGGGAGGUGGAAUUCCACGUGUAGCAGUGAAAUGCGUAGAGAUGUGGAGGAACACCGAUGGCGAAGGCAGCCUCCUGGGCUAGUACUGACGCUCAUGCACGAAAGCGUGGGGAGCAAACAGG